Astatotilapia calliptera (eastern happy) is the source of this 6646-nucleotide long non-coding RNA. NCBI's taxonomy places the organism in Eukaryota, Metazoa, Chordata, Actinopteri, Cichliformes, Cichlidae. The record is from Ensembl.
GUUUGCUGGACCUACAAAUAAGGGCUUUCUUCCAUCACAUAAAGCAUCUGUCUGGUUCUUCUCUUGCUGGUUAUGAGCUUUUGUGAAAUUCCACUCAGUUCUAGUUCCCAUAGUAACCCACCAACUAAGGCGUCAAACACUUACUGAGGGGAAAAAACUACAAGAUUCAGUAUGAUUUGGCUCUAAUUAAGCCCCCACCCACAUGCAGAGCAAGUAAACAGGGUGAAACUGUCACAUCGGCUUUUCUGCCCUGAUGUUAGAAACAAAAACUAUAUCUGUGACUUUGUACAGCACGUAAUGAGAUCAAAUCAACUGCCGGGUGUCUUAUAGUCGUUUCCCCACAUUUGUUGUGCUGUGUCGUUAGUGUGUAUACGUGUACAGCUUAUUGUGAAGUCUAUUUAAAAUCAUUACCUGACCGAACAAUAACGAUGUUUGUGUACAAUAAUGUACAGACUGUGACUCCUGAAAACAGUGUUUCUUGUGUCUUGUGAAUGAUUCAAUGUGAGCGAAUGAGGAAGUGCUGCGGGUAAAUGGGGCAUCUACGUGUGUGUGCCAGCGCGCAGGCUAUAGCUGCAUUUACAAAGCGCCAAAGUGAUUUUGAAGUCAUCGUGGCGCAUUAAAAACAAGAGACCACGCUGUUUCUACGUUUUCACGUUCGCCAUCAAGACUCCAAAUCAGUUUAUUAUGGUCUUUGUAAAUCCAGCACAUUAAGCAUGAAUUUUUAAGUUUUGGAUCAUUUGACCAUCACUGAAUGUGUAUGGAAGACAAUGCAGAUGUGAAAUGUAAUUUUCACUUUGACAAAAACAAAAAAGGAAAAAAAAAAAAAGGAAACUCAAGUGCCUCUAUUUGUGUCCGGUGGGAAUUGCUCUAUUUAUUUAAAACAAAGAAUGAAUCUAAAUGAUUUUCCAUACCAUAUUGGUAUAAAUAUGAGAUUGUUUUUCGUAAAAUCAAAUGUUUCCAUAAGCUUUUUACUGGCGUUUAUGAAGACACCAGGGUUUGGCUUUAAAAGAAAAAAAAGAAAAAAGCAAACAAACAAACGUGAUAAUGUGCCAAAUUAGCAUCUGUUGCUGUGUUUUCUCUUUUUGACAGUUUGAGCAAGUAUAGGUUUGUCUGAAAUACCUGAAAUUUUUAAGUCAUCGCAUGCAAUAAAUGAUAGCUUCAGACCAAGAACUACUUGUGUCCAUUUUGACAAAAAAAAAGUAUAUUUCUUGUUACAUAAGUCACAUGCAGUGUUGCAAAGGUCGACGUCUCAUGAAAAUACACAGCCAUUUAAAUGCACAACGCUACAGCUAACAGUCUGAAACCUCAAGAACAUUAAACCUUAAAGAAAUAAGUGGACAUUUUGGGAAUAUUUUUCUUACUUCUUUCUGAGAAUAAAAACUCAUAUUUGUAUAUGAAAUAUAAAACCUAUAACUAACAGCUAGUUUAUGUAAAUUAGUAAAAAAUUUAAGCUCAGUGAAUGUAUAUAAAAGAUUGACGUAACCACCCAACAGUCUUCAAAAACUACAGUUUUGAAGCUUUAUAUCUUUCUUUGUUUUUGAAUCAGAUGUGACUGUUUUAAAAAAGAAGAGGCUAAGCUAGCUUGUCUAGUUACAAGCUAGCCUUUUUAGCGAGCCAUAUUCACAAUUCACUGAUAUAACUGGGAAGCUAAUACUAGCUAUUGCUAUUAGCUUAAAACAAAGUAGACGAAAACAAUAUCAAACAAGCGGUUAUGCCCCCUAUACAUAACUUGCUUUAAUACAACAAAUAAAAUUCAAAUGGUUUACAUUUGAAUAAAAGGCAUCUCUAUUUUGGUUGUACGCUAAAUUUGUUUUUUUAAACGGUAUAAAAAAUGGACGUAGCUAACAUGAUAUCCCAUUUUAGAUACUAAACAUUACCAUUUUCACAAUUUUAGUUUCAAAAUACCAGAUGCCACAAGGACGGGUGGGUUUAAACGUGAAACCACUUGCUCACUGGUGAACUACUUGUUAAUCAUAAAUUAGUUAGCUAAGUAAGUUAGCUAAGGAACCAAAUUAUCCUACACAUCCAAAUGUAGUAUAACCAAGACUUACAGUGUUGCCAACUCCUCAGUAAGGAAAAUCGCUAUUGGUUGUCCUAAAAGUCGCUAGAAGUCGCUAAAUGACGUCAUCGCCUAAUUUGCAUAAUUGGUCAUACUAAUGUAAUUGUAACCUAAGUUGUUGGAGAGAGAAACAACAUCGUGGAAGAGACAUAAAGUGAGUAAAAAUUGCAUUUAGAACUACAAAUUAAAUUUCUUUCAGCAAUUAUUGUUUUUUUUAAUGUCACAGUUCCAACCCUGCUCCUUUAUCCGGGCUUGGACCGGCAAAAGUAACCCGAAAAUGGCACUCUGGUGGAGUUACUUUGUGUGAGUGGGUGUGUGUUUAUAAGUAGUUUUAAACCUUGUGAUCCACAAAACAGCAUAACAGUAAAAGACUAACUGCGUUACAGUCAGUGCGGGAAUAGCGGCUUCGGUCAUGCGCGAUUCAUUUGCAGUCUGGACGCACAGGUGUGAACAUCUGCUGCCCUGAUAGCAGCGGGGGGUGGACUAUCCUCCGCCUGUGAGCGCUUUGGCAUGGGUGAGGUGCCCACGGCAGCACCGCUGCUUGUUGAGAAUAAGAGCGAUACGCGUUUUUAACGUCAAAAAGUCGUCAUAAAUAAGUCUCCAAUAAUACCAGAAAAAGUCGCCAAAUUUGUUGCUAGUCGCUUUUUAGAAAAAAAGUUGCUAAGGGAGUCUGAAAACUUGCUAAAUAUAGCGACAAAGUCGCUAAGUUGGCAACACUGCUUACAUAAUGCACCAUACGGUAACAGCAACCACAGCUAGUGCCAUCUGGUGGCCUUCAGAGACAAUGCAAGUUUAAGGCUUAAUUUUUUUGACCUAGAAGCUACGUUCAUGUUUUAUACGUGUAUGCUGAUGCUAGCUACAUCUAGCGUUUUACUGUUUAAACAUUGGAAAUAAGACUAUUUCCCAAAAUGUCAAACUGUUCCUUUAAAAUGGACUCAUGGUUCUUCAUCUGAACGACUAAAAUGCUUACUAAUCACCAUUUAGACAGCUGUCCAAGCUCCACUUUCUGUUGCUUAACAAUAACGCUUUUUACAGUUGUUUCUUGUAUUUAUUUGAGGUCUUGAAGCCAAAUUAGGAUUGUCCCAGCGAGCCACUGAACUUCUACAACAACCUGUAAACACUACCCGCAAACCGUUUCUCUCUGACCUCAGUCGUUUCAAGUCGAUAGUUGGUCCGCAGUGUUGCUCAGUCCAAUUCAAUGAUGUUUGGUGUUGUUUUGUUUUAUGGUGAAACUGUGAUGUUACUAUAUGGUUAUUGUUAAGUUCACUUAAUGGUCCCUUAUUCUUCUUGUAUGCAGCGGUACAAUAUACAAUAAUAUGCUGUAAAAAGUCAGAAACAUUGCAUUUGUGACAUGGGAAAUAUCAGUUUCAUUCCACUAUGGUACAUGUCACAUGACAGCUAUGGUAAAUGUUGAAUUCAUGCAACAGUUUAUUUAUAUGCAAUGUCAAUAUGUGGGUAUAUUCUGAAACAUUUUGAAGACAGACUUUUCUCAGCAUGGCCUUUUAUUCUGCUGGCAUCUUAUUAAAUAUCUCAUUAGCUCCUGUUGCAUUAUCACAGUUGUCAACUUGUUUAUCGAAGGCAGAAACAUCAUCACUGCUGUUGUGAUUACAAUAGAGCUAAACACACUGAUUUAUUUUUUGACAGCAGAUGGUAGCAAGCCGAUAAUACACUGAUAAUCUCUCCAGUAGUGACGAGUGUCUCUAAUAUUUGUUUGCAUUUCACAAAAUCACAGAUUCGCUUUGAUUGCCAAAACUGUCUCAUACAAUAAAUGAACUAGCAGGAUUUAAAAAGAUAAUAAAGGGUUUGAUUUUUUCUUCUCAAAUUCCUGUAAUCUACCAGAGAGAUGUUUUCUUUUCUUUUGUGUUCGUCCUCAUUCGUUCUACUGUCAGAGUCAUGCAGCAGUGUUACAAAUAAGAAUUAUCCAAUAAAUAAGAAUUUGUUGAGGUUAGUGGAAGGAGACGUUAAUAUGCUCUUCACAAAAACAAGAAAUAUGAUCGAUAAUCAAGAGAUAACCAACAAGCAUCUCUCUGACUGUUCUUUAGUAAAGAAAAGUUGGCAUUUCUGGAAAUGUUCUGAUUUGCCUUACAAAGUGAUGAAUACAUCAGCACCACUCUCACGUCAGUGUAAGUUAGCCUAGCUUGGCAUUAAGCUAGAAAGCAGUGGAAAACUACAUCCCUAUCUCUAUUCAAAGUCAAAAACUGCGCCUCUAAAACGAAUACAUACAGCUCUGCUAUCACUUCCAACAUAAAUGAAGACAGAAAACUAAACAGCAGUGACGUUUGUAAGGUUACUGGAGUUGGGCUAGCUGGUAUAUAAUGAUGUGCUAUGUUAGCAUAAUGCUAACUUAUUUUUCCACUGGAUAAAAGUUAACAUGAGGGUUCCCGAUGGUUAGGGACAAAUGCGAUCGCAUGGUAGGAUGCUGUAAACGGACCAAACUUCAGUCAGAACAACUGAGAUAAUCCCUCCGCAAUGCGAGGUUAGUCAUUAAUAUACUGCAACAACAUGGGAAUAGAGCAGCUGCCAGAGAAUUCGACAUUAAUGAAUCAAUGGUACAGAAGUGGAGGAAGCAAAAGAAUGAGUUGAGUAAAGUUUGACAUAUCUGACUGUUUUGUUUCGCUUAAUGCGCCUUAUAAACCGGUGCGCCUUAUGGUCCGAAAAAUACAAUAAAUUAAUAUCUUGGUACAAUUUCUAAGUCAUAUACGAAUACUGACAUUCUGCACCAUCUUGUGGUUCAGAAUGGUACUACACCAGAAUCUUAACAGCGACAUACAACAUAAACUACAACAUAAUAUUCACAAUUAAUAUUAUACAACACUAAAAGAAAAGGAUUACAUUUGAGGGGCCUUAAAGUCGCCUGCCUUGUGUUAUGGGAUGGGUAGUUCACCAAUAAAAGUAUUUAUGUACACAGUCUGCUACUUCUGCAUAGUCAUGAUUCACUUCAUAUCUGUGUUGCUUGGUUCAAAGCUUGAAUUUGUGGAAGUGGGAAAGUCAUUUCUGGAACCAGAGCCCUUAAAAACAUGGGCGGCCACAAACAUGCUGCGAUUUCAGAUAAUAUCUCUGCAGUACGAUACUUAGCCGCUUUCUGUUGAUGGCAAAAUAUUUGAAAAAUAUAGAAGUAAAGAACGCGCCAUCUCUUGGAGACACUCUGCAAUUGAGUUAAAAUUAGUGUAUUCAUAGUGGAAAGUAGAGACACCCCAGAAGAGAGAGGGCAGAGUCUCUGUCCAGCAGUUCUAAGUGGCUGUAUCGUUAGCCCAUUUUAGAAGAUUAAGCCCACUUUUAACAUUUUAGCUAGGCUAGGCUAGGCUAAUGAGCUUAUGGUUCUGAGCCCAUAUUAAACAUCUGGCAUGAAAGUAGUGUCCUGAAAAGAAAAGCAACGAGAACAUUUCCUAUAAUGCCUAUUGACGAGGAUAGAUAAAAUAUUGACUAUUCUAAAAUAAAAUUUCUAUUAAUAAUCAGCACUUCAGUUGUAUCAUGUUCUCUAUUUUACAGUAUAUUGGAAAAGUGGAAAAAAGAAAAAGCAAGAUCAUAUUUCCAAAUAGUCCAUGAUAUUCCUUCUACGAUCACGUGACCUUCUACCAUGAAGCCUUCACUGCCUUGUGUGUAGCAUUUCUGUGAUUGCUAUUUUGCUUUUCUUCCUGGAACAUAACAGUGUUAAAUCAUGUGGGAAAUCAAAACGGUCCAAGUGUAACCGACCCAUUUAACAGGAAGUUUCUUUAAGGUUUUCAGUCGCUCUGUUCCCUGCGGUGAAAAACUGUUGCUCGAAUAAGCUCGUUUCUGCUCCGCGACUCUUAAUAAUGUCCAAAUUAAUCUCGAGAAGGGCAGCAGCUUUUAAACUAUAAUAGUGUAAUUGCUCAAGAUUCAUUGGUGAAAAAUUGUCAUCAGCUCGUCUAGCCUUUUUCUCUUUCAUCUUUGUUGCGGUGGAAGAAUAGCGCCAUCUUCCUGAUUAGUGCAAUAAAGCACAUGGCUGAAUUCCCGCCGCAUGAAUACAGCGUACGCCACGUGUGGUAUUCAGUGACGUUAAACUGCUUAAAUCCAAACUGUGACGUGUUAGUUAGGCAACCAAAUAAGUUUAAGACUGUGUAUCUGAAGCCUGACACUGGUGGUACAGCAGCAGCACAGUGCCUCUGAUCCAGCCUGACUAAUCUGUCUGUGAAUCUGAUGCACAUCACUGGCAUAACGAAACAUAAAGAACAAAAUAAAAGUUCUGUCCAACACGGAUUGCAUUGUAUUUCUAAAUGUGUUGCACAGUUUUUUUUCUGUUUUUAUCAGUGCUAUCUUUUGGCCUUUUCUAUGGUUCUUUUUAUAAUGAAGUUGUUCUAUGUGAUGAUCAAAAGUUGUGAUGCAGUUCCAUUGUUUUUAAAUAUUUAAUGUCUCUAAAAUAUGGAUUAAAAUCUGUUUGAAGCAGCCAUCCUGCCGUACUCACUGUCUUCUUUCUGUCUUUUUUAUUGCAUUCGGGCUGAGGUCUUCAAAGUUGCCUUGCAAGGAUGUGCUGAACCUCCCUUUGACAUUGCACAUAGAGGCAACAGCAGAAGGCUGAGACAUUGCCAAAGGUUCCAGCAAGUGUGUUUUUUUCCCCUAAUGAACCAA